GGGGGUGAUCCGGUUUCGACGGGGUGCGUUGAGGUCAGAUCGCGCGUCGUGGAUUCUCGUUGGCCACGUAAAAAAACGGGAACAAAUUGUAAUUGCGAACAACGAUUACGCUCUCGCCGCCUAAUUAACGGCCGCGAUGUCGACUAGGGGACGCCCGAUAACCUGGAAGGCAUAAUUCAUCGGACCACGCUGCAGGGAGUACCGCCUGCCCGCUGCAGGGUGCCGAACCAGACGGAUGGAAGGGGAUAAGCCCGCCUGUCGGCAUACCUCUUUCGAGAUCAAAGGCCGGCUACACGCGUAGAAGUUUGGCUGAUUCCAUUUCGGACAGGGGUUCGACUCCCCUCACCUCCACCA
RNAcentral lists this transfer-messenger RNA (354 nucleotides) under bovine gut metagenome. It matches the Rfam family "transfer-messenger RNA". Rfam says of the family: Bacterial tmRNA, also known as 10Sa RNA or SsrA, is named for its dual tRNA and mRNA-like properties. The record is from RNAcentral.